AGGUCGUGCAUCCAGCAGAGCUCCGACUCCUAUUGGCAAAGCGAAGAAGAAAGGUCGUGCAUCAAGCAGAGGUCGCGGGGAUGACUGGCAUCAAGCUGGCUGGCAACCAAACAAUUUCCCCUUCACUGCAACCCCUGGACGCCGGAGGGCUGCUGCGGAGCUGGAUAGUGACCUGCCAGCUGACUUCCUGACGCUCUUCCUGACUGACGAGCUGCUCCAAAAUAUUGUGGAUCAGACCAACCUGUAUGCAAGUCAAUAUUUUGAAGCACACCCUGACAAUCUGCCAUAUAGCAGAGGGAAUGCAUGGAAACCAGUGUCAG
Long non-coding RNA from Gadus macrocephalus (Pacific cod), 320 nucleotides. RefSeq lists it as uncharacterized. The transcript is spliced from 2 exons. NCBI's taxonomy places the organism in Eukaryota, Metazoa, Chordata, Actinopteri, Gadiformes, Gadidae. The record is from RefSeq and is a predicted model, not a curated record.